Molecule: ribosomal RNA, 253 nt
Filed under: uncultured bacterium
Lineage: Bacteria
Description: partial 16S ribosomal RNA
Rfam family: Bacterial small subunit ribosomal RNA
Source: RNAcentral
UACGUAGGGGGCAAGCGUUGUCCGGAAUCACUGGGCGUAAAGCGCACGUAGGCGGAUCUUUAAGUCAGGGGUGAAAUCCUGGAGCUCAACUCCAGAACUGCCUUUGAUACUGGGGAUCUCGAGUCCGGGAGAGGUGAGUGGAACUGCGAGUGUAGAGGUGAAAUUCGUAGAUAUUCGCAAGAACACCAGUGGCGAAGGCGGCUCACUGGCCCGGUACUGACGCUGAGGUGCGAAAGCAUGGGGAGCAAACAGG